Non-coding RNA from Cinara cedri, 307 nucleotides. NCBI's taxonomy places the organism in Eukaryota, Metazoa, Arthropoda, Insecta, Hemiptera, Aphididae. The record is from the annotation of a GenBank genome assembly.
UUCACUCCUAAUCCUUAUAUAUGUUUUAAACGAACAUUAUUAACUUUUGAUUUUCAAACGAAACCUAUCCUCUGCCCUCUCUUUUCAACACGUUGUGCAUAACACUCUUACCGGAUAUACCAUAAGUGAGUUAUACUGGAUUAAAAUUCCAGUCCGGCGGAGCGGUAAUACGGUAAUAAAUGUCAUAUCAGCGUUUAGAUUUAAUAAUAUGAUUAUCCUUCUCUACUGUUUAAAUUGUAGUUCAUAAACGGCAUGAAUGAAUUAGCGUUAUGCAUAUCGAUAUGUUUUUAGAAAAAUAAUAUUCUCU